RNAcentral lists this unclassified non-coding RNA (425 nucleotides) under Hevea brasiliensis (rubber tree). The record is from RNAcentral. Lineage: Eukaryota; Viridiplantae; Streptophyta; Magnoliopsida; Malpighiales; Euphorbiaceae.
AAAAUAUUCUUCUUUUUUUUUUAGUCAGGUGAUGUGGCAGCUCAAAGAGUUGUCAUUUCACUCUCAUUAAACUGCUCAAACCCCUUGAACCAGGACCUGAUGAAUCAGUUCACCAUUUGUUCAGCCAGUUCAAUGGGUAAAUGUUGGUUUUCUUAGAAAAUGGGUUUAUCAACUGGACUGGAUCGACCAGCAGUUUUGGUCUGGUUCUGACAAUCGUGCAUCGUAGACUAUACAAUGAAGAUGGGGUCUUAACUCUUAAGUCUAUUGAAUAUUUUGUGCACCCAAUAUAAUGACAUUAAAUCAACCAAUUAAAUUAUAUUCUGAUAAAUUUAUCAAAUUCUCCAACUACUUAUUGUUUAUCUUGCAGGUAAUUGAUGUCCUGGAAUUUAUCCCUUCCCAUGUGGCGGUGGUGUUUGAUCAUGAUG